UCCAUGCAAAAGUUAAUAUCAGAUCAUUUUAGAAUACAGUAUAGGAUGUACCGAAUAUUCUUCAGUUUUAUGCAAAACAGAAAUACGACAAAUAUAAUAUCAGAUCUCUGUCAUAUGGCCA
Molecule: long non-coding RNA, 121 nt
Organism: Sinocyclocheilus rhinocerous
Lineage: Eukaryota; Metazoa; Chordata; Actinopteri; Cypriniformes; Cyprinidae
Exons: 2
Source: RefSeq, a predicted model, not a curated record